Long non-coding RNA from Oncorhynchus tshawytscha (Chinook salmon), 1934 nucleotides. NCBI's taxonomy places the organism in Eukaryota, Metazoa, Chordata, Actinopteri, Salmoniformes, Salmonidae. The record is from Ensembl.
CAAAAACAAUUGCAUAUUCUUUUGGGGUUAUUGGAAUUUUAAACUUAUCAAGAAAUUCCUCAUAUGAGAGUAGAUAUCCAUCCUCAUUCAGUAACUGACCAACCAAAAUAAUUGUAUUCUCAAACCAGUUACGAAAAAAAAGAGACUUAUUUUUAAAUCGUGUAUCUUUGUUGUUCCAUAUAAAGUAUCUGUGAGGGGAACAAUUGUAUUUAUACGCUAACAUCCAACCUAAAAUUGCCUGCUUAUGGAAUUUGGAAAAUUUUACUGGGAUUUUAUCAACAUUAAAUAAAAUGACCUCGAAGCAAAAAUUUUAAACCAACAGUGUCACGACUUCCGCCGAAGUUGGCACCCCUGCCUGUUCGGGCGGUGCUCGGCGGUCGUCGUCACCGUCCUACUAGCCGCUACCGAUCCCUUUUUCGUUUGUCUGUUGGUUUUGUCUUAUUAGUUUCAACUGUGUGUAUUUUGAUUUAAUUAGCUUCCCUAUAUGUAGUAGUUUGACCCGCCCUUGUUUUGUGCGGGAUUGUUUUUUGUUACUCUGUUGGUUUUGGUUUCAUGUUUGUAUUCUCCGGACUGUUUGGUCCUGUGUUUGGGCUGGUCUGUUUGCGUGACCGUUUUUUGCCGGAGAAUAAAUUUCGAUUUACCGAACCCUGCUCUAUGCGCCUGAUUCCAACCCACCACUCAUAGUAGGCUGUGACAGAAUCCCGCACCUCUACAUGGAAUCAGCAGGAGCAGCCGCAUCUCCUCUCCCAUCGAUGGAGGAAAGGGUCCUCCAUCAUACCAGCGUUCUCCAUAGGAUUGGUUCGGCCAUGGACCAAAUGAUUUAGAGGAUGGAUCGAUGGGAGAGGAGUGGCCUUCCCACCUCAUCUCCAGCACCUCCUGUUCCUGCUACCGCAUCUGGCUCCGGGGCUCUUCGGCUGACGCUCCUACGGGAGUAUGAUGGAACGGCGGCUGGGUGCCAGGGUCUCAGGGAGGACGUCCGCAGGGAGCUAGCAUGUCGGGACACCACCCUCACACUGGAUGAACUCAUUGACAUGGCUAUCUGUCUCGACAACCGGCUGGCUGCCCGCGGGCGUUCGGAUCAGGUCCCGUCGUUUCCACUUCCCAGCACUCCUGCCCCUAUCCCUAUGGAGUUAGGAGGGGCGGCUUCGAGGGGGACCAGAGGAGGAGUGUCCUCCUGCACCAGUUGUGGUCGGCGAGGGCACACGUCCGACCGGUGCUGGAGGAACUCGUCUGGGAGUCGGGAGGGCAGGCGGAGCACUACUCGAUCACCUCAGGCUGGUGGUGGCUGGUCCCCUGCAAGAAGGUGAGGUGCCUGAGGUCCCUCCACUACCCUCUGGACAUCGAGGGGUCCCCGGCGUACACGGUUCGUGGCAUUCUGGAUUCGAGACGCCGGGUGGGCGGCCUACAGUACCUCGUGGACUGGGAGGGGUACGGUCCGGAGGAGAGAUGCUGGGUUCCGGUGGGGGACAUUUUGGACCCUUCUCUCCUGAGAGAUUUCCACCGCCUCCACCCGGCGCCUCGUCCUCCGGGUCGUCCUCGAGGCCGGUGGCGGCACGCUGCGGGAGCCGCACGUCGGGGGGGGGGUACUGUCACGACUUCCGCCGAAGUUGCCUCCCCUGCCUGUUCGGACGGUGCUCGGCGGUCGUCGUCACCGUCCUACUAGCCGCUACCGAUCCCUUUUUCGUUUGUCUGUUGGUUUUGUCUUAUUAGUUUCACCUGUGUGUAUUUUGGUUUAAUUAGCUUCCCUAUAUGUAGUAGUUUGACCUGCCCUUGUUGUGUGCGGGAUUGUUUUUUGUUACUCUGUUGGUUGUGGUUUCAUGUUUGUAUUCUCUGGACUGUUUGGCCCUGUGUUUGGGCUGGUCUGUUUUAUGUGCCCUGUAUGUUGGCGUGACCGUUUUUUGCCGGAGAAUAAAUUAGGAUUUACCGAACCCUGC